Molecule: ribosomal RNA, 271 nt
Filed under: uncultured prokaryote
Description: partial 16S ribosomal RNA
Rfam family: Bacterial small subunit ribosomal RNA
Source: RNAcentral
UACGUAGGUGGCGAGCGUUGUCCGGAUUUACUGGGCGUAAAGGGAGCGUAGGCGGACUUUUAAGUGAGAUGUGAAAUACCCGGGCUCAACUUGGGUGCUGCAUUUCAAACUGGAAGUCUAGAGUGCAGGAGAGGAGAAUGGAAUUCCUAGUGUAGCGGUGAAAUGCGUAGAGAUUAGGAAGAACACCAGUGGCGAAGGCGAUCCUCUGGACUGUAACUGACGCUGAGGCUCGAAAGCGUGGGGAGCAAACAGGAUUAGAUACCCCGGUAGU